RNAcentral lists this ribosomal RNA (274 nucleotides) under uncultured bacterium. RNAcentral's name for it is "partial 16S ribosomal RNA". It matches the Rfam family "Bacterial small subunit ribosomal RNA", at positions 523 to 796 of the family's 1533-position model. The record is from RNAcentral.
AUACGGAGGGUGCAAGCGUUACUCGGAAUCACUGGGCGUAAAGCGCGCGCAGGCGGUCUUUUAAGUUGGAUGUGAAAGCCUACGGCUCAACCGUAGAACUGCAUCCAAAACUAUUAGACUAGAGUGUGGGAGAGGAAGAUGGAAUUAGUUGUGUAGGGGUAAAAUCCGUAGAGAUAACUAGGAAUACCAAGAGCGAAGGCAAUCUUCUGGAACACUACUGACGCUGAGGCGCGAAAGCGUGGGGAGCAAACAGGAUUAGAAACCCUAGUAGUCC